GGUGUCUACAAACGGAAGAGGAAACAGAAAGGGGAUAAGCCAUGGGGCAAACCCAUCGUCUUGGGUUUCCUGAACCCCAGACACCUCCUAGCUGUGGAUUCUGCUCCUCCCAGAUGGCUACAGGACAUCAGCAAACACGAGGCCCCAGAACUCCUGAAUGCGACCACCCAUCAUCCCCAGUGGAACUGGGCUGGAAGACAGAGGAGCAGGAGACCUAAGGAGUAGGCAUGGGAGACAUGCUGUAUGGCCAACCCUGCUGAGACAGUGUGAAGCCAAAUGUGCCUCUGUCUCUAACCCAGACUUCUGUGGUGGCUAGCAUCCGCUCUGUCCGACCCUGGAAACCCCACCCCACCCCCAGCUAUGGAUCUUUUCCCACAGAAAGGCAGCUGUCAGGACUUCCAUUUGCACCGAGAUAAAAAUAAACCAUCCAAGCCUU
Non-coding RNA from Myodes glareolus (Bank vole), 436 nucleotides. NCBI's taxonomy places the organism in Eukaryota, Metazoa, Chordata, Mammalia, Rodentia, Cricetidae. The record is from RefSeq and is a predicted model, not a curated record.